GCACUAUCGUUAACUGAAUACAUAGGUUAACGAGGCGAACCGGGGGAACUGAAACAUCUAAGUACCCCGAGGAAAAGAAAUCAACCGAGAUUCCCCCAGUAGCGGCGAGCGAACGGGGAGCAGCCCAGAGUCUGAAUCAGCUUGUGUGUUAGUGGAACGGUCUGGAAAGUCCGACGGUACAGGGUGAUAGUCCCGUACACCAAAAUGCACAGGUUGUGAACUCGAAGAGUAGGGCGGGACACGUGGUAUCCUGUCUGAAUAUGGGGGGACCAUCCUCCAAGGCUAAAUACUCCUGACUGACCGAUAGUGAACCAGUACCGUGAGGGAAAGGCGAAAAGAACCCCGGCGAGGGGAGUGAAAAAGAACCUGAAACCGUGUACGUACAAGCAGUGGGAGCACCUUCGGGUGUGACUGCGUACCUUUUGUAUAAUGGGUCAGCGACUUAUAUUCUGUAGCAAGGUUAACCGUAUAGGGGAGCCGCAGGGAAACCGAGUCUUAACUGGGCGUUAAGUUGCAGGGUAUAGACCCGAAACCCGGUGAUCUAGCCAUGGGCAGGUUGAAGGUUGGGUAACACUAACUGGAGGACCGAACCGACUAAUGUUGAAAAAUUAGCGGAUGACUUGUGGCUGGGGGUGAAAGGCCAAUCAAACCGGGAGAUAGCUGGUUCUCCCCGAAAGCUAUUUAGGUAGCGCCUCGUGAACUCAUCUUCGGGGGUAGAGCACUGUUUCGGCUAGGGGGUCAUCCCGACUUACCAACCCGAUGCAAACUACGAAUACCGAAGAAUGUUAUCACGGGAGACACACGGCGGGUGCUAACGUCCGUCGUGAAGAGGGAAACAACCCAGACCGCCAGCUAAGGUCCCAAAGUCAUGGUUAAGUGGGAAACGAUGUGGGAAGGCACAGACAGCCAGGAUGUUGGCUUAGAAGCAGCCAUCAUUUAAAGAAAGCGUAAUAGCUCACUGGUCGAGUCGGCCUGCGCGGAAGAUGUAACGGGGCUAAACCAUGCACCGAAGCUGCGGCAGCGACACUAUGUGUUGUUGGGUAGGGGAGCGUUCUGUAAGCCUGCGAAGGUGACCUGUGAGGGUUGCUGGAGGUAUCAGAAGUGCGAAUGCUGACAUAAGUAACGAUAAAGCGGGUGAAAAGCCCGCUCGCCGGAAGACCAAGGGUUCCUGUCCAACGUUAAUCGGGGCAGGGUGAGUCGACCCCUAAGGCGAGGCCGAAAGGCGUAGUCGAUGGGAAACAGGUUAAUAUUCCUGUACUUGGUGUUACUGCGAAGGGGGGACGGAGAAGGCUAUGUUAGCCGGGCGACGGUUGUCCCGGUUUAAGCAUGUAGGCUGGUUGUCCAGGCAAAUCCGGAUAAUCAAGGCUGAGGUGUGAUGACGAGGCACUACGGUGCUGAAGUAACAAAUGCCCUGCUUCCAGGAAAAGCCUCUAAGCAUCAGGUAACAUCAAAUCGUACCCCAAACCGACACAGGUGGUCAGGUAGAGAAUACCAAGGCGCUUGAGAGAACUCGGGUGAAGGAACUAGGCAAAAUGGUGCCGUAACUUCGGGAGAAGGCACGCUGGUGUGUAGGUGAAGUCCCUGCGGAUGGAGCUGAGACCAGUCGAAGAUACCAGCUGGCUGCAACUGUUUAUUAAAAACACAGCACUGUGCAAACACGAAAGUGGACGUAUACGGUGUGACGCCUGCCCGGUGCCGGAAGGUUAAUUGAUGGGGUUAUCCGUAAGGAGAAGCUCUUGAUCGAAGCCCCGGUAAACGGCGGCCGUAACUAUAACGGUCCUAAGGUAGCGAAAUUCCUUGUCGGGUAAGUUCCGACCUGCACGAAUGGCGUAAUGAUGGCCAGGCUGUCUCCACCCGAGACUCAGUGAAAUUGAACUCGCUGUGAAGAUGCAGUGUACCCGCGGCAAGACGGAAAGACCCCGUGAACCUUUACUAUAGCUUGACACUGAACAUUGAGCCUUGAUGUGUAGGAUAGGUGGGAGGCUUUGAAGCGUGGACGCCAGUCUGCGUGGAGCCAACCUUGAAAUACCACCCUUUAAUGUUUGAUGUUCUAACGUUGGCCCCUUACCGGGGUUGCGGACAGUGUCUGGUGGGUAGUUUGACUGGGGCGGUCUCCUCCCAAAGCGUAACGGAGGAGCACGAAGGUUAGCUAAUCCUGGUCGGACAUCAGGAGGUUAGUGCAAUGGCAUAAGCUAGCUUGACUGCGAGCGUGACGGCGCGAGCAGGUGCGAAAGCAGGUCAUAGUGAUCCGGUGGUUCUGAAUGGAAGGGCCAUCGCUCAACGGAUAAAAGGUACUCCGGGGAUAACAGGCUGAUACCGCCCAAGAGUUCAUAUCGACGGCGGUGUUUGGCACCUCGAUGUCGGCUCAUCACAUCCUGGGGCUGAAGUAGGUCCCAAGGGUAUGGCUGUUCGCCAUUUAAAGUGGUACGCGAGCUGGGUUUAGAACGUCGUGAGACAGUUCGGUCCCUAUCUGCCGUGGGCGCUGGAGAAUUGAGGGGGGCUGCUCCUAGUACGAGAGGACCGGAGUGGACGCAUCACUGGUGUUCGGGUUGUCAUGCCAAUGGCACUGCCCGGUAGCUAAAUGCGGAAGAGAUAAGUGCUGAAAGCAUCUAAGCACGAAACUUGCCCCGAGAUGAGUUCUCCCUGAGACUUUAAGUCUCCUGAAGGAACGUU
RNAcentral lists this ribosomal RNA (2673 nucleotides) under Klebsiella pneumoniae. RNAcentral describes it as "partial 23S ribosomal RNA". It matches the Rfam family "Bacterial large subunit ribosomal RNA". Lineage: Bacteria; Pseudomonadati; Pseudomonadota; Gammaproteobacteria; Enterobacterales; Enterobacteriaceae. The record is from RNAcentral.